Haliotis rubra (blacklip abalone) is the source of this 1258-nucleotide long non-coding RNA. RefSeq lists it as uncharacterized. The record is from RefSeq and is a predicted model, not a curated record. The transcript has 2 exons. NCBI's taxonomy places the organism in Eukaryota, Metazoa, Mollusca, Gastropoda, Lepetellida, Haliotidae.
CUGGAAUAUUGCUAAAAGCGGCGUAAAACUAAACUAAGUCAGUCAUUGUACCUCAUAAGUUAAUGAUCCCAUCUGCUUCAUGAUAGCUUUGGUUUAUCUUGAGUUUUCACUGAAAAUUGGAUCCAACAUUUAAGUCCAACGCCAAAUAACUACCAGCCACUGGUCCUAUUCAUCUCCAUCUUCUGUUUCCGACUUUUCAUUUCAUGUACAGCUGGAGGCAUUGUUUGCUCAAGCGUCGCCACAAAAUCAACAUUGUCUCAUGUGUCUUGACAUAACUAGCUUUAUGUGUUGAAAGUGUCAUGAGAUGAAGGUAGUUUAAUUAACUUUUGUUUCUUGUUCAACUGCAGCAUCGGUUGAACUUUCUGCUUAUUUCCCAUCCUCACAUAUCAACUGUGUCAUAUCUCCAUUGUGUUAUACUAAGUACCUUGAUCCAUAUAUUACCAAAGUUUCAUUUUGGAAGUCACCAUUGUAAUUUCUCUCAUCUAUAUCAACAUGGAAAUUUCUCUCGUAACACAUUGUAUUCGAGAUUACCCUUUCUCAGUAAAGUACCGACUCUACUAACGUCUCGUACUUGUGUUGAGUUAGUCCCGUUUGGGUACAGAAUCUGUACCUGAUUGAGAAAGUUUAAUCCCAAACAUAACGUGUUACAUUUGACCACUUUCUAAAUGUCAUUUGCUGUUUUCAUAGAAAUGUCUCAUUCCUUGUAUUUUGAUUGGACACUUAUUUUUAGCAUCAUGUUAUUUGAAUCAGGUUUAGUGCGAAACUAUGGUAGUGAAUUGGUCCAGGGUGUUUAAUGUAACAAAAUGGCUGUGUGAUACCAUGGAUAAUUGUCGAUGAUAUUUCUUUGUUGUGUGUAAACAUAAUGAAAUAACACUGAGCUUCAGAUGGAUCAUGUAUGCUCAACAUUCUGAAUCUCUUCAACAGGAGGAGGAUGGCUUUCAAGCCCAGCAUCUUAAUUUGAACAUUUUAAUUAAUAAGAUCAAACCCAAAUCUAACAAUCAAACUGUCAAUUUUGUAAAAAUGUGAAAUAUCUCUUUUUUUCAAGCUUGUAUUUCUUAUCAAGAGAAGACCAUCUGUAUAUAAGGCUUUUGUACAUUCUCACACAAGUGAUAAGCGACAUGCCUUUGUGGAUAUUGCUAGACGCCCUGUAGCUGGCGUGACUAGUACUCUACACUGUGAAUACACUGUACUGUAGGUGCUAGUGUAAGCUUGCCUGCGACAUGGGCAUCAGAUUCCUCAUAUAAAUGUUUAAUAUGUA